GUACUGAUGAAGAGUCGUAAACUAGGACGAAACAGUUGUCCAGUAC
This 46-nucleotide non-coding RNA is filed under the name Trichobilharzia regenti. Lineage: Eukaryota; Metazoa; Platyhelminthes; Trematoda; Strigeidida; Schistosomatidae. The record is from RNAcentral.